AUGUGUAUUCCCAAGAAAAAUGGUGGCAUGGGGCUCAGAGACCUACACACAUUUAAUCUAGCUAUGCUUGCUAAGCAAAGUUGGAGAUUGAUAUCAAAUCCCGAAACUCUGUGUGCUCGUGUGCUACGAGCUAAGUAUUACCCUGAUGGGAAUCUAUUAAAGGCGGGUCCUAAGAAGGGAUAUUCAUUUACUUGGCAAAGCAUUAUAACAGGUUUACAAACUUUCAAGAGAGAGUAUAUCUGGAGAGUGGGUUCAAGAAGUCUAAUCAAUAUUUGGGAAGACCACUGGAUCCCUGGUAGCCCAUCCAGGAAGGUGAUUUCAAGGAGGGGCAUGUGUCUUCUGCAAACGGUAAAUGAAUUGAUUAAUCCAUGGACAGGAAGUUGGGAUGAAGUGUUGAUUCGAGAAAAUUUUAUCUCAAUGGAUGCUGAACGAAUCUUGAAGAGCUCGUUGAGCACACAUUUAACUAAGGACUUUAUUGCCGGGCACAAGACUCGGUCGUUCUCAUUUUCAGUCCGGUCUGCAUACUAUACGGAGUGGGAGCACCAGUUUGGAGCGCGUAUAAGAAGAUGUGAUGAUGGACCAUCUACUUUAAACCCAGUUUGGGAGAUUCUUUGGAAGCUACAAGUGCCCAGCAAAAUUAAAAUCUUUGGCUGAGAGGCGUUGCAUGGAAUUAUUCCGGGUAUGUCUGUUCUGGAAAACCGUCACAUUCCAGUCUCUACGCUCUGUCCGAUCUGUAAAAGGGGUGCAGAAGACCUGAAGCACCUCAUGUUUACUUGUGAUCAUGCAAAAGAAGUUUGGCUGUCCUUGGGCCUUUAGGAGACGAUU
RNAcentral lists this ribosomal RNA (825 nucleotides) under Triticum aestivum (bread wheat). RNAcentral describes it as "partial small subunit ribosomal RNA". Lineage: Eukaryota; Viridiplantae; Streptophyta; Magnoliopsida; Poales; Poaceae. The record is from RNAcentral.